Molecule: long non-coding RNA, 837 nt
Organism: Cyprinus carpio (common carp)
Lineage: Eukaryota; Metazoa; Chordata; Actinopteri; Cypriniformes; Cyprinidae
Exons: 3
Source: RefSeq, a predicted model, not a curated record
CACUUUUCUCACGAAUGUACAAAAUCUUUAUAGUUUAUUUCACUGAGGCUAGUCAUCAUGCUGUUUGUUGGAAAUGGCUGAGAUGUUCUUUGGUUACAUCAACAUGAAGAUGAAGAACUGUUUAUGUGAGAUAAUUGCAGUCUCAUUUUCCUGGAUAACUACAUAAAUAUUUCCUGUCUUAUCUUACACUGACAAGCACAAAAAAAAUCUGGACAGACGGGUUUCAACGAAAAUCGACAUUUUAACAUCCAUACGGUAGUUAGCAAAACAUAGGCUAUUAAAACAUUACUCCGUGGAACAUAGUUUAUAUUUAUUGAACCGAGAUGAAAAGCGCAUAUCUUCGGAGCAGAUGACAGGGUUCCUUCACUUCCUGAUGGCGAACAGGGAUCAUAUUUGGUGAGUUUUGCAGAAAUCUUUAGGUUUUGUUCCCAGAUACACUCGCAGGAGUUAGACUUUUCACUACGCCUGGGUGGAAGACACGUAACGGGAAGUUUUGAGUCCAGUUUCAGGGUUUUACGGGAAGAGGAUGCAGAUGUUCUGAGGAUCCUCAGCGGUUCCUUGAGUCCAGAACGGAGAACAAAGAGAAAUGGCUCAAGAUGUCUUAUGAGACCGAGAAAGCUUGCCUGCUGGCUCCACAGCAAUCACGAACACCAUGUGUUUGUCACAAAUAUGAAAUCCCCGGAAUGGGAGAGGACAGUGUUUUAGAAAUGCUGAGCUACUCCAAAUUCUCUGAUCUGGAGACAUGGCUGUGUAUGCCCUCUACUUUGUUACCCAGGAGCCGGGAUUCAGUUUGCUCCUUGCCGUCACCGUCCAAUGAGAAUGGCACUGGAGACACAG